RNAcentral lists this transfer RNA (3123 nucleotides) under Salmo salar (Atlantic salmon). RNAcentral describes it as "lncRNA (ENSSSAG00000116310.1)". The stretch from base 3045 to 3116 matches the Rfam family "tRNA". The record is from RNAcentral. Lineage: Eukaryota; Metazoa; Chordata; Actinopteri; Salmoniformes; Salmonidae.
AAGAACUUUGAAAAGAAUAACGGGCAAAUGUACAAUCCAGGUGUGGAAAGAGCAUAGACUUUCUUUCUUCGUAGAGUUUUUUUUCUUAGUGGGUCGAUCAGCCUUUAAUCAGCUCAUAGAGUCUUAGUGGGUAGAUCACCCUUUAAUCAGCUCAUAGAGACUUAGUGGGUCGAUCAGCCUUUAAUCAGCUCAUAGAGACUUAGUGGGUCGAUCAGCCUUUAAUCAGCUCAUAGAGACUUAGUGGGUCGAUCAGCCUUUAAUCAGCUCAUAGAGACUUAGUGGGUCGAUCAGCCUUUAAUCAGCUCAUAGAGGCUUAGUGGGUCGAUCAGCCUUUAAUCAGCUCAUAGAGGCUUAGUGGGUCGAUCAGCCUUUAAUCUGCUCAUAGAGACUUAGUGGGUCGAUCAGCCUUUAAUCAGCUCAUAGAGACUUAGUGGGUCGAUCAGCCUUUAAUCAGCUCAUAGAGACUUACCCAGAAAGACUUAUCUAAUCAAUAUACAUUUGUGGGUUUUUUUUCUUCUCAUGAAUGUUAGAAACGUUUGACAUUACAGAGUAUUUUGUGUAGAUCGUUCACAACAACAACAACAACAAAAAACAGACAAUUAAAAUACAUUUUAAUUGCAUUUUAUAAAAGUCAAGGUGUGUGAAUACCUUCCCGGAAGGCAGUGUAUAUAUGAUUUUUCUAGUAGGUGGAGCUGUACUGGAACGUUGCCGUUGUACUGAGCCCCCCAUUUCAUACCAUAAGGUCAGGGGUCAGGUAACAGUGGAGAUGGGGGUUGGGGCUCUCUCUCUUAGGUCAAAGCGCAGACAGACCCACUGCAGCAACCGUAGACCCGAUAACUGUUACUGAUUGAUAAAUACCGUUGUCUUGUUGGAACCCACGGAGACAGACGAGCUGUUGUUACGUUACGACAACGUAAGGGACAGGAAAUGACAAUCAGUCUGUACUAAUAGUACAUCCCCAUGUACGACAGGAAAACAUGAGUGCGGUUAUGGGGUUAGGUUACCCACGUGGAACUUAAAGAUCACUGAAUCAGAGAGAGAAGGAGGGAGAGAGAAGUACAAUGAGAGAGAGAGGGAGGGAGAGAAGUACAAUGAGAGAGAGAGGGAGGGAGAGAAGUACAAUGAGAGGGAGGGAGAGAAGUACAAUGAGAGAGGGAGAGAAGGAGAGAGAGAGAGAGAAGAAGAAGAAGGAACAGAAAGUGUUUUAACACCACUAACACUAUCCUCUGUCUCAAACUCUCACAAAUGUUUUCUUCCUGUAUAAAUUCUCUAAGGUGGAACUACUCAUAGAGUCAAAAACGAAAGUAAAGUAUCAAGACAGUUUAGUUGUGGAUCAGUAGAUGUGAUAUUAAAGACAGUUUAGUUGUGGAUCAGUAGAUGUGAUAUUAAAGACAGUUGAGUUGUGGAUCAGUAGAUGUGAUAUUAAAGACAGUUGAGUUGUGGAUCAGUAGAUGUGAUAUUAAAGACAGUUGAGUUGUGGAUCAGGAUAAUUAAUAUUAAAGACAGUUGAGUUGUGGAUCAGGACAAUUGAUAUUAAAGACAGUUGAGUUGUGGAUCAGGAGAAUUGAUAUUAAAGACAGUUGAGUUGUGGAUCAGUAGAUGUGAUAUUAAAGACAGUUGAGUUGUGGAUCAGGAGAAUUGAUAUUAAAGACAGUUUAGUUGUGGAUCAGGAGAAUUGAUAUUAAAGACAGUUGAGUUGUGGAUUAGUAGAUGUGAUAUUAAAGACAGUUGAGUUGUGGAUCAGUAGAAUUGAUAUUAAAGACAGUUGAGUUGUGGAUCAGUAGAUGUGAUAUUAAGGACAGUUGAGUUGUGGAUCAGUAGACGUGAUCCCUCUUACUGGAAGCAGAGCCUUGACUCUGAGAUGUAGGCGGCUGUGAAUUUCCACCAGGGGGUUUCCCUACUAUCUCUCUGUGCCUCUCCCCACCUUCUCUCUCUCUCCCCCUGUCUUUCCCUUCACUCUCAGAUCGUUGUCUCCUUUCUCUUCUCUCUCUCACCCAGGAUGCCAUGGUGACACACUUUCCCUGAAAGAUACUAUUAUAGCUGAACAGAAACAAAAUAAUUCUGUCUGUCUGUCUGUCUGUCUGUCUGUCUGUCUGUCUGUCUGUCUGUCUGUCUGUCUGUCUGUCUAAACAUUUUGUUGGUCCCCACAAGGUCAAAUGCUAUUUCUAGGGGGUUUAAGGUUAAAGUUAGAAUUAGUGUUAGGGUUAGAAUUACGUUAAGGUUUAGAAGCUAGGGUUAGGUUUAGUUUUAGGUUUAGGGUUAGGUUUAGGGUUAGGUUUAGGUUUAGGGUUAGGGUUAGGAGCUAGAGUUAGGGUUAGGUUUAGGGUUAGGAGCUAUGGUUAGGGUUAGGUGCUAGGGUUAGGGUUAGGAGCUAGGGUUAGGGUUAGGAGCUAGGGUUAGGGUUAGGAGCUAUGGUUAGGGUUAGGUGUUAGGGUUAGGAGCUAGGGUUAGGGUUAGGAGCUAGGGUUAGGGUUAGGAGCUAGGGUUAGGGUUAGGAGCUAGGGUUAGGGUUAGGAGCUAGGGUUAGGGGUUAGGGUUAGGGUUAGGAGCUAGGGUUAGGGUUAGGAGCUAGGGUUAGGGUUAGGAGCUAGGGUUAGGGUUAAGGGUUAGGGUUAGAGUUAGGGUUAGGAGCUAGGGUUAGGAGCUUGGGUUAGGGUUAGGAGCUAGGGUUAGGAGCUAGGGUUAGGGUUAGGAGCUAGGGUUAGAGUUAGGGUUAGGGUUAGGAGCUAGGGUUAGGGUUAGGGUUAGGAGCUAGGGUUAGGUCUAGCCUGUUCAACCUCUUUUUCGUAUCGUCUGAGAUUCCCAAAGAUUGGAAAGCUGCCGCGGUCAUCCCCCUCUUCAAAGGGGGAGACACUCUAGACCCAAACUGUUACAGACCUAUAUCCAUCCUACCCUGCCUUUCUAAAGUCUUCGAAAGCCAAGUUAAUAAACAAAUUACUGACCAUUUUGAAUCCCACCGUACCUUCUCCGCUAUGCAAUCUGCUUCCAGAGCUGGUCACGGGUGCACCUCAACCACGCUCAAGGUACUAAAUGAUAUCAUGUGGUCCCGUGUGGCUCAGUUGGUAGAGCAUGGUGUUUGCAAUGCCAGGGUUGUGGGUUCGAUUCCCACGGGGGACCAGUACG